GCCGUUUGCCUUUGACAGUCAUGCAAAAAAUCCUCCAAACGGGACUGGGAUGAUCCGAUUCCUUCAUCAUCCGCCCUCUUCAGACGUGUUGUCACAGCAGGGUAUCAGUUCUGAGAGAUACACUUCAUUCCUGCAGACAGUCUAUCCAGUGCUGCAGGGUCUCCCCCUGCGAGUGGCACCCUAAGGAGACGCCCCCUGACCACCAUGAAGGCACAAAAGGACAUAAGUAAUUAAAGGAGGCGGAUGCUCCAGACAGAUGUUAAAGUGCUUGGUCUGGUCGGGCUUGAUACGGCGCAGCGCAAUCCGUGACUCUCCGAUGAACUCGUUAUGGGUCAGCUUGUCUUCGUCACACACGGACACCCUGGAGUUGAGACAGAGAGUACAAAGCUGAAAGUGGAUGCAUCAGCUGUGGGAAUCAAUCUAGCAUCACCAUUCAACAGCUGCCCUUGUCCAUCAUCUACUCAGUGUGCGUGAACGUGUGCGCGCAUGUGCUGAGGUGAAAGCAUGCCACCCUGUGGAGCUCAAGAGCCGUCUGAAGUGGAGAUGAACUCAGGAGAUAAAAAAAAUGAUUUUAAUGUC
Molecule: long non-coding RNA, 579 nt
Organism: Nerophis ophidion (straightnose pipefish)
Lineage: Eukaryota; Metazoa; Chordata; Actinopteri; Syngnathiformes; Syngnathidae
Exons: 4
Source: RefSeq, a predicted model, not a curated record